UGGGGAAUAUUGCACAAUGGGCGCACGCCUGAUGCAGCCAUGCCGCGUGUAUGAAGAAGGCCUUCGGGUUGUAAAGUACUUUCAGCGAGGAGGAAGGCGUUGUGGUUAAUAACCGCAACGAUUGACGUUACUCGCAGAAGAAGCACCGACUAACUCCGUGCCAGCAGCCGCGGUAAUACGGAGGGUGCAAGCGUUAAUCGGAAUUACUGGGCGUAAAGCGCACGCAGGCGGUCUGUCAAGUCGGAUGUGAAAUCCCCGGGCUCAACCUGGGAACUGCAUCCGAAACUGGCAGGCUAGAGUCUUGUAGAGGGGGGUAGAAUUCCAGGUGUAGCGGUGAAAUGCGUAGAGAUGUGGAGGAAUACCGGUGGCGAAGGCGGCCCCCUGGACAAAGACUGACGCUCAGGUGCGAAAGCGUGGGGAGCAAACA
RNAcentral lists this ribosomal RNA (427 nucleotides) under uncultured bacterium. RNAcentral describes it as "partial 16S ribosomal RNA". It matches the Rfam family "Bacterial small subunit ribosomal RNA", at positions 355 to 774 of the family's 1533-position model. The record is from RNAcentral.